RNAcentral lists this non-coding RNA (28 nucleotides) under Bombyx mori (domestic silkworm). The record is from RNAcentral. Lineage: Eukaryota; Metazoa; Arthropoda; Insecta; Lepidoptera; Bombycidae.
UCAGAAGAUGAUAAAUUUUGGGUAGUUC